GCUAAUACCGGAUAACAACAGAUGAUGCCUAUCAACUGUUUAAAAGAUGGUUCUGCUAUCACUCUUGGAUGGACCUGCGGUGCAUUAGCUAGUUGGUAGGGUAACGGCCUACCAAGGCGAUGAUGCAUAGCCGAGUUGAGAGACUGAUCGGCCACAUUGGGACUGAGACACGGCCCAAAACUCCUACGGGAGGCAGCAGGC
RNAcentral lists this ribosomal RNA (201 nucleotides) under uncultured Lactobacillus sp. Its description in RNAcentral is "partial 16S ribosomal RNA". It matches the Rfam family "Bacterial small subunit ribosomal RNA", at positions 162 to 354 of the family's 1533-position model. Lineage: Bacteria; Bacillati; Bacillota; Bacilli; Lactobacillales; Lactobacillaceae. The record is from RNAcentral.